GACAGAGGGUGCAAACGUUGUUCGGAAUUACUGGGCGUAAAGCGUGUGUAGGCGGCCGUGCAAGUCGGAUGUGAAAGCCCCGGGCUCAACCCGGGAAGUGCACCCGAAACUGCAAGGCUCGAGUACCGGAGAGGUUGGUGGAAUUCUCGGUGUAGAGGUGAAAUUCGUAGAUAUCGAGAGGAACACCGGUGGCGAAGGCGGCCAACUGGACGAGUACUGACGCUGAGACACGAAAGCGUGGGGAGCAAACAG
Molecule: ribosomal RNA, 252 nt
Filed under: uncultured bacterium
Lineage: Bacteria
Description: partial 16S ribosomal RNA
Rfam family: Bacterial small subunit ribosomal RNA
Source: RNAcentral